Triticum urartu is the source of this 1415-nucleotide non-coding RNA. Lineage: Eukaryota; Viridiplantae; Streptophyta; Magnoliopsida; Poales; Poaceae. The record is from RefSeq and is a predicted model, not a curated record.
AAGGUUUUCCCUCAUUCAGAACAUAGAAACUGUGUUAGGCACAUUUAUCAAAAUUUCCAUAAAGUACACAAGGGAGAGCAGCUCAAGAAUGAUCUAUGGUCUAUAGCAAGGUCCACUAAUGAAGCUGCAUACACCAGGAACAUGGAUCUAAUGAAAGAACACAGCUUGGGUGCCUACACCUGGGUUGAGAAAUUGGAGCCAAGAACAUGGAUCAAAGCAUUCUUUGACCCGUUUUGCAAGUGUGACAUAUUACUAAACAAUAUGUCAGAAGUGUUCAAUAGUUACAUUUUGGAUGCGAGGGAAAUGCCAAUUAAGUCAAUGUUGGACCAGAUAAUGUGGAAGCUAACAAACAGGAUUGUUGGUAAGCAGAGAGAGGCAGAGAAAUGGACAGGCAGAUUAUGUCCCAAGAUACAGAAGAAAUUGGACAAGUAUGUGGAGUGGGCAAAGAACUGCAGGGUGCAAGAGUAUGGGCAAGGUGUUUUCAAGGUUUUCUCUUUGAACAACACAUACAUUGUUGACCUGAACAUGCUUUCUUGUGAAUGCAAAAGGUGGGUACUAUCUGGCAUACCUUGCCAUCAUGCAAUUGCAUGUUUUAGGCAUGAGAGAAUUGAGCCAGAGAGCAUGGUCCAUUCAUGCUACACUGUUGAGGAAUAUAAGAAGUGUUAUGGAUUUAAUAUGAUGCCAAUGAGGGACCCACAACAAUGGGAAAAAAAUGCAUGGCAUUGCUGUUCACCCACCCCUGUACACAAAAGUAAUGGGCAGGCCUAAGAAGAACAGGAAAAAAGAUCCAGAAGAGAAGAAAGACAAGACCGGGGUGAAAAAAUUGAGCAAACAUGGUGUGACCAUGCAUUGUUCUGUUUGUGGAGCUGCUGACCAUAACAAGAAGGGCCACCACAAUCAUGUUAAUCAAACAACAACUGAGGAAACAACAAUUGAAGAAGAAUAUGACGACCCAAGCAUAAUUGCUAUACCAUCCUUUGCUUAUAUAUUUUCCCCUCUAAUCUUCAAACUAUACUUAAACAUUGAUACAUUGGCUUCACCUGUUGCGGAACAUCAUGCCACACAGAGUCUACCCUCAGCUCGAUCCAACACAAACCCCUGACUCAAUGGUUUACAAGAUGCAAGAAAUGGAGAAGUUUACAUAUCCAGCACCUAGGGAAUUUGCCCCCCUACCUGAGUCUAGCUUCAUUGCCAAUGCCAGAGACUCAAUUCCUAUGGUUAGAGUUACAACAGCCAUGUCAAGAGGCAGGGUGAGAAAGACUGCUAAUGAGAAAGUUGUAAGGCCAAGAAAAAAGCAGGCAAGGGAAGGCAAUAUUGCAAUGGGAAGCAAUGUUGCAACAACUGGAAGCAAUGCUCCAACAAGUGGGGCCAAUGCAAGAGGAGGUGGCAAUGCAAGAGGAGGGGCCAAUGCAAGA